This 460-nucleotide ribosomal RNA is filed under the name uncultured bacterium. RNAcentral describes it as "partial 16S ribosomal RNA". It matches the Rfam family "Bacterial small subunit ribosomal RNA", at positions 338 to 795 of the family's 1533-position model. The record is from RNAcentral.
CCUACGGGCGGCUGCAGUGAAGAAUAUUGGUCAAUGGACGAGAGUCUGAACCAGCCAAGUAGCGUGAAGGAUGACGGCCCUAUGGGUUGUAAACUUCUUUUAUAAAGGAAUAAAACGAGGCACGUGUGCCUUUUUGCAUGUACCUUAUGAAUAAGGAUCGGCUAACUCCGUGCCAGGAGGCGCGGUAAAACGGAGGGACCGAGCGUUAUCCGGAUUUAUUGGGUUUAAAGGGAUCGUAGGUGGGUUUUUAAGUCAGUGGUGAAAGUUCGCGGCUUAACCCUAAAAUUGCCAUUGAUACUGGCAGUCUUGAGUACAGUUGAGGUAGGCGGAAUUCGUGGUGUAGCGGUGAAAUGCUUAGAUAUCACGCAGAACUCCGAUUGCGAAGGCAGCUUACUAGACUGCCACUGACAUUGAUGCUCGAAAGUGUGGGUAUCAAACAGGAUUAGAUACCCGAGUAGUC